UCUGAUUAUUAUUUUCAGAUUAGAGCGGUAUAGUCUCAUAUGAUAUAGUGUGUUAAUAGAUGAUUUAUUAAGUGACUACAUUGAAUUUAGGUUUUCGUAAAGAAAGUAAGAGGAUGGCUAGCUGGCUAUGAAAUUAUGUCGGUGGAUGAUUAUGUGAUUACACAAGAUGUUUGCUUCAAUGAAAUGGAUCGAGGAAUGUCUCUGUUAGUGUAAUUGUAAAGAGACAGUAGAUUGUGCAAUAAAGAUUUGAAAUUGAAGGACAGACGUAAUGGUAGCUUUGACUGAGAAUUAGAAUUCUGAAAUCAAGAAGAAUAAUAGAAAAUCCUUGUUUUCAGUUUUCUCUUUCUUACUCCAUUGGCUAUUUGUAAACACAAUUAUUUUUCCUGUUUGUAAAUGAAGUAUAACUUAAAUAGCAAUGCACAAAGACCUAUGAACUAUUAUUUUAGAAAUCUGUGUAUUUACUAACAGGAACACUGUUUCCAUUGUAUGAAUGUAAACCUACUAGAAACAGGGAUUCAUGAUCACCACUGGAUACUGUGCCAGGAGAAAGUUUGGGAUCAAGAGAGUGGAUACAAAGGGCAAGAACUCUUACUAAUAGAAGACCAGUAUUCUGGACUCUUUAUAUCACACAAAAAUACCAGCUUUGUAUGAAAACAAAGCCAACAUGGGAUGGGCUCAUCACAUCUCAUGUUCAACUGUUAGAUACCUCAAGCAGAUGGAGAAUGAAAUGAGUAUUUGUGCUAUUCCAUACGAAGACAUGUAUACAAAUCACAUCACUGGUUGCAGUAUCUAUGGAUUUCUGUGUGAUUUGACUGUCAAAAUGUGCAAUGGGAAACUGUCAUCCCCGUAAAGUAAAUGGACUAUGAAACUGAAAUAGGGAGGAGUGUGUACAUGUACUCUAGAUAUGACAGCCUAACAAUGGAAACUAUGUUGCAUGGCUAUUGUCAUGAUGCAUGGAGAUCAGACAAAGCAUGACUGGACAUAGCAACAUGAUGUACUCAAUCCUCUGUAUACUUAAGCAUUUAAUUUCCUUUCUCAACUUUAACAUAUGUGUAUAUAUAUAAUGCUGUGAAAGAGUUCUAUAUGUGGGAUUUAUUUCUAAUCCACAACAUUAAAUCAAAGGCGUAGUAAAUGUCAUCUUGUGCAUGUGUCUCCAACAAAUUGUUUUGUGUGUGUUAAAUAAUUUAGAAAUUUGUUUGUCAUUUGUCAUGGACCUUUUGAUUCAAACUUUUCAAAUUUCUUAACAAAUAGCAGCAAGUACAAUGGAGUUACUUGGUGAUAUUGAUAUAACUUUAUAUUUAAUUAAGAGUAAAGUUCAAAUAAAACAUGUUUUAUUAUGAUUUUUUACUUUGAUUAGUUAAGUCUAGAAGUAUGGUUGUGGUAUCUAGAAAGCUACUUUGUAUUACCUGAACCGAUCCUUGUUGCUGUUUUAUGAAACAUGUUACUUUUGUGGGACUAAAAAGACAUGAUACUGACAGCACAUUGAAAUCCUGUUCACCUUAAAGUGCACCAGCGAAAUAUCUUGCAGAAACUGUAUUGAGAUGGAAUUAGUGAUUCUAAUUUCAAGGACACCGACUUUGAAGACAAAGUGCUAUCUUUUGCACUUAAAUAGAUGGUCAGUAACUGCUGGUAAACUCUAUGUAUUUCUUUUGAAAAUGUCAAGUUAAUAAAAUUUUAUGGUCAUUAUUGGC
Limulus polyphemus (Atlantic horseshoe crab) is the source of this 1691-nucleotide long non-coding RNA. RefSeq lists it as uncharacterized. The transcript is spliced from 3 exons. The record is from RefSeq and is a predicted model, not a curated record. NCBI's taxonomy places the organism in Eukaryota, Metazoa, Arthropoda, Merostomata, Xiphosura, Limulidae.